Molecule: non-coding RNA, 1178 nt
Organism: Drosophila suzukii
Lineage: Eukaryota; Metazoa; Arthropoda; Insecta; Diptera; Drosophilidae
Source: RefSeq, a predicted model, not a curated record
UCUAUUGGUCAUCACUAAGGACAAAAACGUAAACAAAGCAAAAACCUACAAAUAUUGACGGAAAAAUGGAUUACAUUGGUGGCUAUCGAUGUCCUAGCCAAGCGCUCCCACCCAACCAUGGAUGCCCUCAAGAUGCUGCAGGGCACCACCCAUUAGCGGCAGGAGCCCCCUCCUCGCGACUACGGCUACGGUUGCAUCCCCCCCACUGGGAAAGCUUACUCACACAGUGGGUAUUACAAAGGUUUAAUAAAUAUCCCCUUAAGACCGAAACCUGGCCGCCGUCUCGGAUAUUUACGCGGUCAAAGCAGAGGAUUCGUUUUGCUGGAAAAGGGGACAGGCGCCGCGGAAACUAUGCUCUACCAGCCAUGUAUUGGUAGAGCUCGCAUGGAAACGCGGCCCUCAAAGGAACAUGCGCGAUGCGCGUGUGUAUGGUCACCUAAUCCUGAGGAGCUCCAGGGGAAAAGAAGGGACAGGCCAAAAAGGCAAACAACGAGGACAAAUAAGGCUCUCGGGUCUAACUCCGGAUAAACUCACUAACAGCCACCGUCGGGCCGGGCCUGGAGGCGAUGGGAGCCCGGGCUGAUGACUUUCCGCCGGAGGCCAGCAGCGAUACGGAUCUCCACACGGGAAAAUGGCGCUCUCCGGUGAGUGGUGCACGGGCAGUCCGAGAUUCGGCUGCCAGACAAAAUGGAGAUACUUCUCAGCGCCGCAAUGCGACCGCUGGAAGUUCCCGAGAGGAGGAGGACGCGGUACGCCGGAACGGACUCACCGGGAAAUGUUGACGUCGUCGGCGUCGAUUGUGGAAGGCUUUCCUGGCUGGUCGCUGGCACGGGUCGAACGGACACCGGUUGCUGGGCAGCCAAGUCGGGCUGGUAGGCACAAAGAAAAUUUAUACUAGCACUCCUAGCUGCAUCUGCCUUGAUUGCUGGACAGUAUGGCCGCGACUAUCACGAUAUCUGCUGAUCAUCGCCCCCCCGCCAUAUUACAUGGCCUCUCUCGACAUUGGGUCAUUGGAUACAUGGGCCAUUUGAAGUAAUCCCAGAGCGAACCGGGAUUAAUCUUCAAAUGGCCAGAUCGCCCGCCAGACUCAUCCCGCUGCUGCAGCUAUCGCCCUAUCGACCUAAACUAUCGAUAACGUCGCUCCCACUUGACUCCAAUUGCACCAACUAUAAGAGCUA